UUUUGAGUUGAACCCUCUAAACAGGAAAGGAGGGAGUAUCAACUUCCAUCCUUCGAGGAUUAUGGCCUAUUUAAAGCAAGUACAAUAGAGCUGAGUCAGCUGGCUAUAAGAAAUAAAGCAAUAUGCUUUUUUUUAGUUAGAGGAAAGAGAAGAGGAGAGAGAAGGUAAGCGGGCUCUUAGCUAAGAGCCAGCUCUAACACGUGCUCCUAGGCUUUUUGUAAGUAUGAAAGGUGGACCAUAUAAUAAAAAAGUAGUACACUUUUGCAAUGAAUUAUUGUACAUGUUGGCUAUAAGAUGGACUAUAGAUGACAUGACAAUGACUUAUAGCCAACAGCUGGUUAUACUAUUGUAUGUGAACUCUUCAUAUUCAUUGUACUAUUAUUCUUGCAUGAGUCUUUAUGCUACUCAUCAUUUUCAACACAGAAGGCUAUAGCUCAAGACUCACACCUAUAGGCUAUAGCAGGCUGUGUGCAUUCAUAUCAUGGAGAAGGAAUAAAGACUCCACCAAACUAUGACACUUUUGUGAGUUAUGUUCUCUCCCCAUCUCGCCCUUUAUAUAUACCACUCCCAAACUCACCAAACCAUGUUGUUCCUCCAUGCACAGGUUCUAACCAGUGAUUCUCUUUCUGGGCAUAUAUUAGAGUCAAUAAGAUAGAUGGCCCCCUUCUUCAUAUAUAUGUAUUGACCCCUUCUUCAAAUUAGAUAUAUCGGAUGUGGAAUGAACUCCUACAAGCAGAUCGUAUGCGAGGAAUUCAAGAGGAAUUUGCGGCAUUCUUCUUGACCACGUGAUCGCUAAAGACGGAGAAUACCAUGUGAACCCUAACGAGUUAAAUUUUAAUUAGGAGANN
Molecule: long non-coding RNA, 848 nt
Filed under: Hordeum vulgare
Lineage: Eukaryota; Viridiplantae; Streptophyta; Magnoliopsida; Poales; Poaceae
Description: long non-coding RNA (HVUL_LNC017443)
Source: RNAcentral